GCUUGGUGUGGUGGCGCACACCUGUAAUCCCAGUGGCUCUGGGGGCUGAGGCAGGAGGAUUACAAGUUCAAGGCCAGCCUCACAGCAGUUUAGCAAGGCCCCAAACAAUUUAGUGAGACUUUGUCUCAA
Molecule: small RNA, 129 nt
Filed under: Marmota monax (woodchuck)
Lineage: Eukaryota; Metazoa; Chordata; Mammalia; Rodentia; Sciuridae
Source: RNAcentral